This 200-nucleotide long non-coding RNA is filed under the name Brassica napus (rape). RNAcentral describes it as "long non-coding RNA (BNAP_LNC024243)". The record is from RNAcentral. Lineage: Eukaryota; Viridiplantae; Streptophyta; Magnoliopsida; Brassicales; Brassicaceae.
AGUUUCUCAGCGGGAGGCUGGACUAUCUGGGUAACGGUUUGAUUGUAUGGUUUAGUAUUGAUAUUAUUGUUUAGUAGUUAGUACUAAGGGUCUUAGGCCAUAUAGGCCGGACUACUGGUACUAUUGGUUUGUGUUGUAGAGUCGAGUGUCUAGUUAGGAUCUGGAAUUUUAUCUUUAGGUUAGGUUCUAGAUUGAGUUUG